RNAcentral lists this ribosomal RNA (112 nucleotides) under Caerostris darwini. Lineage: Eukaryota; Metazoa; Arthropoda; Arachnida; Araneae; Araneidae. The record is from RNAcentral.
AACGGUCAUACCAUGCUGAAUAUACCGGCUCUCGUUAGAUCACCGAAGUCAAGCAUCAUUGGGCGCGGUCAGUACAUGGGUGGGUGACCACUUGGGAACACUGCGUGCCGUU